CGCUAGCUACAGGCUUAACACAUGCAAGUCGAGGGGCAGCAUGGACUCAGCUUUGCUGAGUUUGAUGGCGACCGGCGCACGGGCGAGUAACGCGUAUCCCACCUGCCCUUUACUCCGGGAUAGUCUCCUGAAAGGGAGUUUAAUACCGGAUGUGUUUGUUUUUCCGCAUGGGAGCGACAAAUAAAGAUUAAUUGGUAAAGGAUGGGGAUGCGUCCCAUUAGCUUGUUGGCGGGGUAACGGCCCACCAAGGCGACGAUGGGUAGGGGUUCUGAGAGGAAGGUCCCCCACAUUGGAACUGAGACACGGUCCAAACUCCUACGGGAGGCAGCAGUGAGGAAUAUUGGUCAAUGGGCGGGAGCCUGAACCAGCCAAGUAGCGUGAAGGACGACGGCCCUACGGGUUGUAAACUUCUUUAUAAGGGAAUAAAGUUCGCCACGCGUGGUGUUUUGUAUGUACCUUAUGAAUAAGCAUCGGCUAAUUCCGUGCCAGCAGCCGCGGUAAUACGGAAGAUGCGAGCGCUAUCCGGAUUUAUUGGGUUUAAAGGGAGCGUAGGCGGGCUUUUAAGUCAGCGGUCAAAUGCCACGGCUCAACCGUGGCCAGCCGUUGAAACUGUAAGCCUUGAGUCUGCACAGGGCACAUGGAAUUCGUGGUGUAGCGGUGAAAUGCUUAGAUAUCACGAAGAACUCCGAUCGCGAAGGCAUUGUGCCGGGGCAGCACUGACGCUGAGGCUCGAAAGUGCGGGUAUCAAACAGGAUUAGAUACCCUGGUAGUCCGCACGGUAAACGAUGAAUGCUCGCUAUGGGCGAUAUAUUGUCCGUGGCCAAGCGAAAGCGUUAAGCAUUCCACCUGGGGAGUACGCCGGCAACGGUGCAACUCAAAUGAAUUGACGG
This 890-nucleotide ribosomal RNA is filed under the name uncultured bacterium. RNAcentral's name for it is "bacterial SSU rRNA". It matches the Rfam family "Bacterial small subunit ribosomal RNA", at positions 34 to 916 of the family's 1533-position model. The record is from RNAcentral.